Molecule: ribosomal RNA, 380 nt
Filed under: uncultured eukaryote
Lineage: Eukaryota
Description: partial 18S ribosomal RNA
Rfam family: Eukaryotic small subunit ribosomal RNA
Source: RNAcentral
CAAUAGCGUAUAUUAAAGUUGUUGCGGUUAAAAAGCUCGUAGUUGGAUUUCUGCUGAGAACGACCGGUCCGCCCAUUGGGUGUGUAUCUGGCUCUUUCUUGGCAUCUUCUUGGUGAACGUUACUGCACUUGACUGUGUGGAGCGCUACCCAGGACUUUUACUUUGAGGAAAUUAGAGUGUUUCAAGCAGGCAUACGCCUUGAAUACGUUAGCAUGGAAUAAUAAGAUAGGACCUCGGUUCUAUUUUGUUGGUUUCUAGAGCUGAGGUAAUGAUUAAUAGGGAUAGUUGGGGGCAUUCGUAUUUAACUGUCAGAGGUGAAAUUCUUGGAUUUGUUAAAGACGGGCUACUGCGAAAGCAUUUGCCAAGGAUGUUUUCAUUGA